This 252-nucleotide ribosomal RNA is filed under the name uncultured bacterium. RNAcentral describes it as "partial 16S ribosomal RNA". It matches the Rfam family "Bacterial small subunit ribosomal RNA", at positions 524 to 776 of the family's 1533-position model. The record is from RNAcentral.
UACGGAGGAUGCGAGCGUUAUCCGGAUUUAUUGGGUUUAAAGGGUGCGUAGGCGGGCUUUUAAGUCAGCGGUAAAAAUUCGGGGCUCAACCCCGUCCGGCCGUUGAAACUGGGGGCCUUGAGUGGGCGAGAAGAAGGCGGAAUGCGUGGUGUAGCGGUGAAAUGCAUAGAUAUCACGCAGAACUCCGAUUGCGAAGGCAGCGUACCGGCGCCCUACUGACGCUGAAGCACGAAGGCGUGGGUAUCGAACAGG